GGAUCGAAUGGAGACCGCAGCUAAAUGCGCGUCAGAAUGUGAACUGCAGGACACAUGAACACCGACACGUUGAACGCAUAUGGCGCAUCGGCUCGCCUCAAAACGACCGAUGCACACAUCCUUGAGUGUCUACUUAUUUGUUGACCAACCCACCCGGGCCCCGUUAGCGCGGGGUCCGUCAUUCGACUACAACAUGCCGCGCGGGUCACACCAGACCGAGGCGGACGUUGUGCAUAACGGCGUGCUGGGCGCGGCUUCGCGCAGCCCCAGGGCGUUGAUCCGGGUGAGUUGGAUUCGAGCGGGCGGCCAUCGUCACUGGCCUGCACGCGCUUGACGCGCGUGGUACCCCUGGUCGUUAGAUGUUGCGCUCGUAGCCUUCCCUAGGUGGACUACAAAGGUGCCAGAUGCUUCCGACCAGACCGACCGGGUACCCGUCAGUUCGCGUCUUGCGGUCGGUGCCUACAAGGUUGCUCACACACCCUCGCGGGUGUGCGACACACAGUGUACACGUAGCGCCCCCAGCACUCGAGCCACAUCCACUCACUCCGCGGUGCAUGCGCCUGCAUGCCCGCACCACUCACAACAUGUAGACCUCAGGUGAUGUGUGGUAACCCCCGGAAUUUAAGCAUAUUAAUAAGGGGAGGAAGAGAAACCAACCGGGAUUCCCUGAGUAGCU
RNAcentral lists this ribosomal RNA (676 nucleotides) under Anopheles longirostris. Its description in RNAcentral is "eukaryotic LSU rRNA". The stretch from base 589 to 676 matches the Rfam family "Eukaryotic large subunit ribosomal RNA", at positions 1 to 88 of the family's 3401-position model. Lineage: Eukaryota; Metazoa; Arthropoda; Insecta; Diptera; Culicidae. The record is from RNAcentral.